Eptesicus fuscus (big brown bat) is the source of this 334-nucleotide long non-coding RNA. RefSeq lists it as uncharacterized. Lineage: Eukaryota; Metazoa; Chordata; Mammalia; Chiroptera; Vespertilionidae. The transcript is spliced from 3 exons. The record is from RefSeq and is a predicted model, not a curated record.
UAAAAUAAAAUAAGUGUGAGAGGCCUGCAGGUUAUCAACAAGUAAUAGAAUUCAGAAGUAGACUUGUUUUCUUUUAUCCAUUUUAAGGUACAAUGGCUUGAAGAGUAGAUAAUUAUUGGAGGUUUGCCCAGGAGUGAAGGAAAGUAUAUAAGAGCCAAGAAUCUCCUGCAAGAGCCACAACAACAGGAUUCGUCAGCGUUUUGGAAAUUUCCCAGAGGGGCUAUCAGUGUCGAUUGCCAACUCUGACUUGACUCAGCUUAAUGACUCGUAAAGGAAGGAGGGAGAGAAGCCAGAGAGGCUUAAAGAGGUUGGCAGAAGAAAUGUUAAUGGGGCG